GGGUGACUGCGUACCUUUUGUAUAAUGGGUCAGCGACUUAUAUUCUGUAGCAAGGUUAACCGUAUAGGGGAGCCGCAGGGAAACCGAGUCUUAACUGGGCGUUAAGUUGCAGGGUAUAGACCCGAAACCCGGUGAUCUAGCCAUGGGCAGGUUGAAGGUUGGGUAACACUAACUGGAGGACCGAACCGACUAAUGUUGAAAAAUUAGCGGAUGACUUGUGGCUGGGGGUGAAAGGCCAAUCAAACCGGGAGAUAGCUGGUUCUCCCCGAAAGCUAUUUAGGUAGCGCCUCGUGAAUUCAUCUUCGGGGGUAGAGCACUGUUUCGGCUAGGGGGUCAUCCCGACUUACCAACCCGAUGCAAACUACGAAUACCGAAGAAUGUUAUCACGGGAGACACACGGCGGGUGCUAACGUCCGUCGUGAAGAGGGAAACAACCCAGACCGCCAGCUAAGGUCCCAAAGUCAUGGUUAAGUGGGAAACGAUGUGGGAAGGCCCAGACAGCCAGGAUGUUGGCUUAGAAGCAGCCAUCAUUUAAAGAAAGCGUAAUAGCUCACUGGUCGAGUCGGCCUGCGCGGAAGAUGUAACGGGGCUAAACCAUGCACCGAAGCUGCGGCAGCGACACUAUGUGUUGUUGGGUAGGGGAGCGUUCUGUAAGCCGUUGAAGGUGGCCUGUGAGGGUUGCUGGAGGUAUCAGAAGUGCGAAUGCUGACAUAAGUAACGAUAAUGCGGGUGAAAAACCCGCACGCCGGAAGACCAAGGGUUCCUGUCCAACGUUAAUCGGGGCAGGGUGAGUCGACCCCUAAGGCGAGGCCGAAAGGCGUAGUCGAUGGGAAACAGGUUAAUAUUCCUGUACUCGGUGUUACUGCGAAGGGGGGACGGAGAAGGCUAUGUUGGCCGGGCGACGGUUGUCCCGGUUUAAGCAUGUAGGCGGAUGUUCCAGGUAAAUCCGGAACGUCACUAACGCUGAGGUGUGAUGACGAGGCACUACGGUGCUGAAGUGACAAAUGCCCUGCUUCCAGGAAAAGCCUCUAAGCAUCAGGUAACAUCAAAUCGUACCCCAAACCGACACAGGUGGUCAGGUAGAGAAUACCAAGGCGCUUGAGAGAACUCGGGUGAAGGAACUAGGCAAAAUGGUGCCGUAACUUCGGGAGAAGGCACGCUGAUGGUAGGUGAAGUGACUUGCUCAUGGAGCUGAAAUCAGUCGAAGAUACCAGCUGGCUGCAACUGUUUAUUAAAAACACAGCACUGUGCAAACACGAAAGUGGACGUAUACGGUGUGACGCCUGCCCGGUGCCGGAAGGUUAAUUGAUGGGGUUAUCCGUAAGGAGAAGCUCUUGAUCGAAGCCCCGGUAAACGGCGGCCGUAACUAUAACGGUCCUAAGGUAGCGAAAUUCCUUGUCGGGUAAGUUCCGACCUGCACGAAUGGCGUAAUGAUGGCCAGGCUGUCUCCACCCGAGACUCAGUGAAAUUGAACUCGCUGUGAAGAUGCAGUGUACCCGCGGCAAGACGGAAAGACCCCGUGAACCUUUACUAUAGCUUGACACUGAACACUGGUCCUUGAUGUGUAGGAUAGGUGGGAGGCUUUGAAGUGUGGACGCCAGUCUGCAUGGAGCCAUCCUUGAAAUACCACCCUUUAAUGGCUGGUGUUCUAACGUGGGCCCCUAAUCGGGGUUGCGGACAGUGUCUGGUGGGUAGUUUGACUGGGGCGGUCUCCUCCUAAAGAGUAACGGAGGAGCACGAAGGUCAGCUAAUCCUGGUCGGACAUCAGGAGGUUAGUGCAAUGGCAUAAGCUGGCUUGACUGCGAGCGUGACGGCGCGAGCAGGUGCGAAAGCAGGUCAUAGUGAUCCGGUGGUUCUGAAUGGAAGGGCCAUCGCUCAACGGAUAAAAGGUACUCCGGGGAUAACAGGCUGAUACCGCCCAAGAGUUCAUAUCGACGGCGGUGUUUGGCACCUCGAUGUCGGCUCAUCACAUCCUGGGGCUGAAGUAGGUCCCAAGGGUAUGGCUGUUCGCCAUUUAAAGUGGUACGCGAGCUGGGUUUAGAACGUCGUGAGACAGUUCGGUCCCUAUCUGCCGUGGGCGCUGGAGAAUUGAGGGGGGCUGCUCCUAGUACGAGAGGACCGGAGUGGACGCAUCACUGGUGUUCGGGUUGUCAUGCCAAUGGCAUUGCCCGGUAGCUAAAUGCGGAAGAGAUAAGUGCUGAAAGCAUCUAAGCACGAAACUUGCCCCGAGAUGAGUUCUCCCUGACCCUUUAAGGGUCCUGAAGGAACGUUGAAGACGACGACGUUGAUAGGCCGGGUGUGUAAGCGCAGCGAUGCGUUGAGCUAACCGGUACUAAUGAACCGUGAGGCUUAACCUU
RNAcentral lists this ribosomal RNA (2357 nucleotides) under Klebsiella oxytoca. RNAcentral describes it as "bacterial LSU rRNA". It matches the Rfam family "Bacterial large subunit ribosomal RNA", at positions 591 to 2925 of the family's 2925-position model. The record is from RNAcentral. Lineage: Bacteria; Pseudomonadati; Pseudomonadota; Gammaproteobacteria; Enterobacterales; Enterobacteriaceae.